UGAUCUAUUUAAGAACAUAGAACAAUGCAAAGUUGGAUGCGUCAUGCGUGUACAUAUUCAAAUGGACCUAAAAGCAGUAGUCUAUAUCCGUGGCGUGCGUAGGGUAAGUGGGGCUCAAGGCAAAUUUUAAAACAAUAUAGUAUUUUUAACAUAUUUUUUAUUUAUAAGAAGCAUGAUUCUAAAAGAAAAACAAUUCUUGAACGGGGAAGAGUCGAAGUUGCCUUUCAUGUGCACAUCGAUACCUCAAGCAACCACUACACUACAACAUAUUUUACAAAUUAGGAGCCCCAAAAUCUUUAUAUUUUGAAGGGGGCCUGAGGCAAAAGCCUUUUCUGAUACAUACUAGGCACGGCUCUGCGUAUAAGGUAACCAGGAAAAUGUGACUUAAUUUCGUAUGGUAGAUGGAUCAAACUUAAAAUGUAAUGAUAUCCCAAACUUAUUCCCUUACCAUUUGACCACGAGCUCCCGGUCGUCUUGUUUGAACAUGCUUACAUGUGUGUUGGUCGUCAUAUAUGCACGUUUUGAAAUGUAUGUAUUGGCAAAUGACAAUGAAGUUUAGAGCGUGGUUUUUAUUAAUUGU
This 580-nucleotide long non-coding RNA is filed under the name Brassica rapa (field mustard). Its description in RNAcentral is "long non-coding RNA (BRAP_LNC003750)". The record is from RNAcentral. Lineage: Eukaryota; Viridiplantae; Streptophyta; Magnoliopsida; Brassicales; Brassicaceae.